CUCACAACAAAGAAGUCCCUCCACACUCGUAUUAAAAAUUACAAAUGAAACCAAGGGGACAAUCUCCAAACACGUUCUCUCAGAAUGAAGUUCCAAUCAAUGUAUGCCAACUGCCAUAGGCUUGCCCUUAUUUUCAUUACCAAGGAUCUUAGAUAGACAAGCUAGGAUCACUAUAGGUCUUCUUCUUGUCUUGUAAUGUAGGUUAGGGCUGGUAUGGUAUUCAUGAGUAUUUAGAGUGACUAUGCCUCCUUGACACUACACUAACCUUUGGGGGUCCCACUUUUUAACCUUUUUUUAUUUUUCUCUUUUCUUGAUCACACAUAUUUAUGAUGGGUGUGGUCUUUUUUACAAUCAAUUUCUUUUUCACACUUUUCUUUUCUUAUUCUUUAUAACCACACCCAGCUUUUUAUUCUUUUCUUUUACUCUACCUUUCUUCAUACUCAUUCUAUACCAUGCACCCCUAAGAUAGCCACCCUCAACUUAGGCUAUUUGCCUAAGUCAAGGUGCACAGUGUCCAAGAAGGACCAAGGCCAAAAAAGGUUCAUUGUAAUAUAAAUGAGAAGGUGAGAGACGUCAUAACAAGAGAUAGGUAUUAAAGCUCAACACUAUGAUCAAGGGAUAUUAUGUAUACAGGGAAGGUCAUUUUAGGAUAAAAGUGGAUUAAUUUCAAAAACAACCUAUGAUCCUUUCCUAACCCCUAUCCUACAACCUAAGAAAUAAAAACUAGGCAAGUUAUGACUUCAAUAUACAAACAAAACUCAGUAGAACCUCACACACACAUGGCACACAGCCAUAUCGCAAGUUACUACAUAUCUAGUUCAUGCAGUUGUUUAGAAAUGAUCACUAUAUUGCUAGAACUAAUGCCACACUCAAGAUGCACAUUGGUCACAAAAGAUGCAAUUCACAUAGGUAUAUAAGCAAACCAUCAGAGAGGUGGACAAAAAAUCACAAAUCAUGAUAACUGCCUCAAGUACUUGUAUUACUCCUAGUUAUUUACAAAAAUUAUUACAACAACAACGCACCCUACACCCUCAACUUAAGAUCAAAGAAAAACUAAACUAAGGGUUAGGGUAUACCUGGAGUAGAUCAAGCACGAGGAUCAUGAGUUUCCUCCUAUGUAGCGCCUGACUUAACGUCGCCGCAUGACUUGGAUAUCUCGAUUACUUAGACUUCAUUGAGAUAUACACUAGCUAUAAUCUUUAUUUAGUCCGUUGGGCCAAGAUAUAGUUUUAGUCUAUACCCAUUCACCUUAAAGAUAUUCCCAUCUUCAUCUUCGAGUUCCACCACUCCAGAUAAGUAGACUUGGCUA
This 1309-nucleotide long non-coding RNA is filed under the name Capsicum annuum. RNAcentral describes it as "long non-coding RNA (CANN_LNC003185)". The record is from RNAcentral. Lineage: Eukaryota; Viridiplantae; Streptophyta; Magnoliopsida; Solanales; Solanaceae.